UACCAGCACCCCGAGUGGUCGGGACGUUUAUUGGGCCUAAAGCAUCCGUAGCCGGUUCUACAAGUCUUCCGUUAAAUCCAGCUGCUUAACAGAUGGGCUGCGGAAGAUACUAUGGAGCUAGGAGGCGGGAGAGGCAAGCGGUACUCGAUGGGUAGGGGUAAAAAUCCGUUGAUCCAUUGAAGACCACCAGUGGCGAAGGCGGCUUGCCAGAACGCGCUCGACGGUGAGGGAUGAAAGCUGGGGGAGCAACCGG
This 253-nucleotide ribosomal RNA is filed under the name uncultured bacterium. Its description in RNAcentral is "partial 16S ribosomal RNA". It matches the Rfam family "Archaeal small subunit ribosomal RNA", at positions 474 to 726 of the family's 1478-position model. The record is from RNAcentral.